This 22-nucleotide small nuclear RNA is filed under the name Arabidopsis thaliana (thale cress). Its description in RNAcentral is "snRNA_02568". The record is from RNAcentral. Lineage: Eukaryota; Viridiplantae; Streptophyta; Magnoliopsida; Brassicales; Brassicaceae.
AACAUUUCAAUAUCCAUAAAAA